Molecule: transfer RNA, 74 nt
Filed under: Palmaria palmata (dulse)
Lineage: Eukaryota; Rhodophyta; Florideophyceae; Palmariales; Palmariaceae
Also listed under: 1 other name
Description: tRNA-Val
Rfam family: tRNA
About the family: Transfer RNA (tRNA) molecules are approximately 80 nucleotides in length. Their secondary structure includes four short double-helical elements and three loops (D, anti-codon, and T loops). Further hydrogen bonds mediate the characteristic L-shaped molecular structure. tRNAs have two regions of fundamental functional importance: the anti-codon, which is responsible for specific mRNA codon recognition, and the 3' end, to which the tRNAs corresponding amino acid is attached (by aminoacyl-tRNA synthetases). tRNAs cope with the degeneracy of the genetic code in two manners: having more than one tRNA (with a specific anti-codon) for a particular amino acid; and 'wobble' base-pairing, i.e. permitting non-standard base-pairing at the 3rd anti-codon position.
Source: RNAcentral
GGACAUAUAGCUCAGUUGGUCAGAGCAUUACGUUGACAUCGUAAAUGUCACUGGUUCGAAUCCAGUUAUGUCCA